This 251-nucleotide ribosomal RNA is filed under the name uncultured bacterium. RNAcentral describes it as "partial 16S ribosomal RNA". It matches the Rfam family "Bacterial small subunit ribosomal RNA", at positions 528 to 779 of the family's 1533-position model. The record is from RNAcentral.
CGAAGGGCUAGCGUUGCUCGGAAUUACUGGGCGUAAAGGGAGCGUAGGCGGAUUGUUUAGUCAGAGGUGAAAUCCCGGGCUCAACCUCGGAACUGCCUUUGAUACUGGCAAUCUUGAGUAUGGGAGAGGUGUGUGGAACUCCGAGUGUAGAGGUGAAAUUCGUAGAUAUUCGGAAGAACACCAGUGGCGAAGGCGACACACUGGCCCAUUACUGACGCUGAGGCUCGAAAGCGUGGGGAGCAAACAGGAUU